GUGCUCGGUAUCCUUUUGUGGAGAUGGAGACAGUGCUCCAAAGAACCACUUCAAAGCAGGUCAGAGGCAGAGAUGAAUCAGAUGGAGACGUCUUCUCCUCCACCAGCUGAUGAGGUGACUUACGUUGACUUGAACUUCCACAAAAGGGAUGCAAAAGCGGAGGAAGAGGUUGU
Molecule: long non-coding RNA, 173 nt
Organism: Terrapene triunguis (Three-toed box turtle)
Lineage: Eukaryota; Metazoa; Chordata; Testudines; Emydidae
Exons: 3
Source: RefSeq, a predicted model, not a curated record